CACAUGAACAUCGACAUUUCGAACGCACAUUGCGGUCCACGGAUUUAAUUCCCGGACCACGCCUGGCUGAGGGUCGUUUAUAAAUAUAAACCAGACUGCUUGCGGGUGUUGUGUAUUAUUUAUACGCAACGCACCAAGCGAUACCUGAACGUUCGCCGUUUACGCGCUUCCGAGCGUAAAAAACGGUGUCGUUUGAAAUGAUAUGCAAGUUUCGGAGGAAACUCGCUGACGGAGAAAAUACUUGAGCUUGUCUCGAAUUCUCUCUUGUAAGCGAUAGAGCCGCAUUCGACGCGCGUGUGCAGGUUCGGUUUAACCACCGUACCAUGCGAAUACACGCGAAUGCGUCGAAUGCAUUGCGUUCUCUUCCCGGAGCAUAACAACGUGUCCGUGAGCUUUCUUGCGUGUUUUUGAUACGCAAUUAAGCGGACCGAUGUUAAUAGCACUCCGAAUGGGACAGAGAGUAGGCUUUGUCGUUUCGAGAGGGAGAGACUGCUGUUUGUACUUUUCUCGCGAAGGCACCUUCCUUGUACAACGAUACUUGCUUUGGUUACAUUUCUUUUCUUUACGGAGAAUUGAAAUUAAUGAAAAAAUUUUUAUUAUACGACGACCUCAGAGUAGGCGAGAAUACCCGCUGAAUUUAAGCAUAU
Molecule: ribosomal RNA, 647 nt
Filed under: Anagrus sp. 2 PFRJ-2009
Lineage: Eukaryota; Metazoa; Arthropoda; Insecta; Hymenoptera; Mymaridae
Description: eukaryotic LSU rRNA
Source: RNAcentral